GAUGAACGCUGACAGAAUGCUUAACACAUGCAAGUCGAUGGGGAAGUGGUGCUUGCACCAUGGCAACCAUGGCGGACGGGUGAGUAACGCGUAAGGGACUUACCUGCAGGACUGGGAUAACAGGGGGAAACUCCUGACAAGACCGGAUAAUGUCAUGGAGCUGCAUGGCUUUAUGAUGAAAGGAGACGCCUGCGGAGAGCCUUGCGUCCUAUUAGCUAGUUGGUGAGGUAAUGGCUCACCAAGGCGAAGAUAGGUAGCCGGCCUGAGAGGGUGGACGGCCACAAGGGGACUGAGAUACGGCCCUUACUCCUACGGGAGGCAGCAGUGGGGAAUAUUGGACAAUGGGGGCAACCCUGAUCCAGCAAUUCUGUGUGCACGAAGAAGGUUUUCGGAUUGUAAAGUGCUUUCAGCAGGGAAGAAGGAAGUGACGGUACCUGCAGAAGAAGCG
Molecule: ribosomal RNA, 448 nt
Filed under: Leptotrichia sp. oral taxon 212
Lineage: Bacteria; Fusobacteriati; Fusobacteriota; Fusobacteriia; Fusobacteriales; Leptotrichiaceae
Description: bacterial SSU rRNA
Rfam family: Bacterial small subunit ribosomal RNA
Source: RNAcentral